UGAGGUGUGGCUCAGUGGCAGAGUGCUCGCAUGGCACCUGUGAGGUACUGGGUUCCAUCCUCAGCACCACAU
RNAcentral lists this transfer RNA (72 nucleotides) under Marmota marmota marmota (Alpine marmot). It matches the Rfam family "tRNA". Rfam says of the family: Transfer RNA (tRNA) molecules are approximately 80 nucleotides in length. Their secondary structure includes four short double-helical elements and three loops (D, anti-codon, and T loops). Further hydrogen bonds mediate the characteristic L-shaped molecular structure. tRNAs have two regions of fundamental functional importance: the anti-codon, which is responsible for specific mRNA codon recognition, and the 3' end, to which the tRNAs corresponding amino acid is attached (by aminoacyl-tRNA synthetases). tRNAs cope with the degeneracy of the genetic code in two manners: having more than one tRNA (with a specific anti-codon) for a particular amino acid; and 'wobble' base-pairing, i.e. permitting non-standard base-pairing at the 3rd anti-codon position. The record is from Rfam by way of RNAcentral. Lineage: Eukaryota; Metazoa; Chordata; Mammalia; Rodentia; Sciuridae. RNAcentral also lists the same sequence under 1 other name.